GACGAACGCUGGCGGCGUGCUUAACACAUGCAAGUCGAACGGAAAGGCCCUGCUUUUGUGGGGUGCUCGAGUGGCGAACGGGUGAGUAACACGUGAGUAACCUGCCCUUGACUUUGGGAUAACUUCAGGAAACUGGGGCUAAUACCGGAUAGGAGCUCCUGCUGCAUGGUGGGGGUUGGAAAGUUUCGGCGGUUGGGGAUGGACUCGCGGCUUAUCAGCUUGUUGGUGGGGUAGUGGCUUACCAAGGCUUUGACGGGUAGCCGGCCUGAGAGGGUGACCGGCCAAAUUGGGACUGAGAUACGGCCCAGACUCCUACGGGAGGCAGCGGUGGGGAAUAUUGCACAAUGGGCGGAAGCAUGAUGCAGCAACGCCGCGUGCGGGAUGACGGCCUUCGGGUUGUAAACCGCUUUCGCCUGUGACGAAGCGUGAGUGACGGUAAUGGGUAAAGAAGCACCGGCUAACUACGUG
This 468-nucleotide ribosomal RNA is filed under the name uncultured bacterium. Its description in RNAcentral is "partial 16S ribosomal RNA". It matches the Rfam family "Bacterial small subunit ribosomal RNA", at positions 28 to 507 of the family's 1533-position model. The record is from RNAcentral.